Molecule: ribosomal RNA, 253 nt
Filed under: uncultured bacterium
Lineage: Bacteria
Description: partial 16S ribosomal RNA
Rfam family: Bacterial small subunit ribosomal RNA
Source: RNAcentral
UACAGAGGGUGCGAGCGUUAAUCGGAAUUACUGGGCGUAAAGCGUGCGUAGACGGUUAUUUAAGUUGGAUGUGAAAACUCUGGGCUUAACCCAGAGCCUGCAUUCAAAACUGACGGGCUGGAGUUCUGGAGGGGAUAGCGGAAUUCCUGGUGUAGCGGUGAAAUGCGCAGAUAUCAGGAGGAACACCGGUGGCGAAGGCGGGUCUCUGGGCCGAUACUGACGCUGAGGAGCGAAAGCGUGGGGAGCAAACAGG